AGAGAGAGACAUGCGCGCAUAUCAAUAAGCGGAGGAAAAGAAACUAACUAGGAUUCCCUUAGUAACGGCGAGUGAAGCGGGAAGAGCUCAAAUUUGAAAUCUUCAAGGUUUACCUUGACGAAUUGUAGUUUAAAGAAGUGUUUUCUGUUGGAGUUUUGGUAAAAGUUCUUUGGAAUAGGACAUCAUAGAGGGUGAGAAUCCCGUAUUUGACCAUUAUUUCCAGCUGUGUGAUACACUUUCAAAGAGUCGGAUUGUUUGGGAAUGCAGUCCAAAAUGGGUGGUAAAUUUCAUCUAAAGCUAAAUAUUGGCGAGAGACCGAUAGCGAACAAGUACCGUGAGGGAAAGAUGAAAAGAACUUUGAAAAGAGAGUUAAACAGUACGUGAAAUUGUCAAAAGGGAAGCGUUUGACACCAGUGUUGUUUUCUCGAAGAUCAAUUAAAAAAGGCAGGAUUUUGUGUUGUAUUGACUUUAUCAGCUUUCUGCACUCUUUUCUUGUCUUUUUUAAUGCACUUUUCGUUUAACAAGUCAACAUCAAUUUCUUUUGUUGUAAAAGGGUCAUUGGAAGGUGGCUUUCUUUUCGGAGAAAGUGUUUAUAGCCUUUGGCCUCUGCAAUCGGAGAGAUUGAGGUCUGCAGCGUAGAUCCUUCGGGGUUAGAUACAUUUGUGCUAAGUUAUAGCCUUUCAUAGACAACUUGUUGACUAUGAUCAGUCAUGUAGCUUACUCGCUUAUGCUAUUUUACCUACGCUUAGGAUGUUGAUGUGAUACUGCGAGC
RNAcentral lists this ribosomal RNA (772 nucleotides) under uncultured Neocallimastigales. RNAcentral describes it as "partial large subunit ribosomal RNA". It matches the Rfam family "Eukaryotic large subunit ribosomal RNA", at positions 23 to 645 of the family's 3401-position model. Lineage: Eukaryota; Fungi; Neocallimastigomycota; Neocallimastigomycetes; Neocallimastigales. The record is from RNAcentral.